RNAcentral lists this ribosomal RNA (253 nucleotides) under uncultured bacterium. RNAcentral describes it as "partial 16S ribosomal RNA". It matches the Rfam family "Bacterial small subunit ribosomal RNA", at positions 524 to 776 of the family's 1533-position model. The record is from RNAcentral.
UACAGAGGGGGCUAGCGUUGUUCGGAAUUACUGGGCGUAAAGGGCGCGUAGGCGGCCCGCUUAGUCGGACGUGAAAUCCCUCGGCUCAACCGAGGAACUGCGUCCGAUACUGGCGGGCUCGAAUCCGGGAGAGGGAUGUGGAAUUCCAGGUGUAGCGGUGAAAUGCGUAGAUAUCUGGAGGAACACCGGUGGCGAAGGCGGCAUCCUGGACCGGUAUUGACGCUGAGGAGCGAAAGCCAGGGGAGCAAACGGG